RNA transcript from Nylanderia fulva, 2220 nucleotides. It is a transcript of the gene named REST corepressor, with no coding region annotated. The record is from RefSeq and is a predicted model, not a curated record. Lineage: Eukaryota; Metazoa; Arthropoda; Insecta; Hymenoptera; Formicidae.
UUUAGUGUACAACUAUCCGAUGAUGAUAAAAGAUUAUUAUCUCAUAUUUUCAUAAUCGUGCUUUAUAUCGAUUAUAUACUUUUGUGCAUAUCGAUUUCGGGUGUGAACAAAUUAAAAAUUGUCGCGCAAGAGAAGCAAAAGUCGCUCUUGGCGACAUUAAUUUUUUCAAAGUUACAUAUUUAUCACGUACAGUGAAAAUUGACCCAUUUUUUCGUCAAACACAACUCGCCGACCAAUGAGAGAUGGCACGCAGUGGGCGGCCAUUUUACUUUCGCUACGGUCGCGCGGAGCACCGCUUUGAGAGAUCUCUCAAACUCGAGAUCGUCUUGCUGUUUCGAAGCGAACUGUGGUAAGCGAGCGUUUGCUCUGUCGCAGGUCCGUGAGAGAUUUUCUGUUAGCAUAUUCUCCUGCAUCCCACUACGCUAAAUUCGUAUUCGACUCAAUCGACGAGAAAGCCAUCGCCAGGAUGGUUUUGGCGGAGAGAAACUCGGAAAAUGUGCGAAACGGUCGCAGAUCCCGAGGCCCCAGCCCCAACGCACAGACGGAGUCCUCCAGCGAAGAGGAUGGAGUUCCAGCAGAAAAAAUUAGAGUUGGACGAGAUUACCAAGUGGUUGUUCCAGAAUUUGUUCCUGUUAAUGAACGUCGAUUGGAUCAAUGUCCUGAUAGAGCAUUGUUAGUUUGGUCCCCAACUACAGAUAUACCAGAUCAGAAACUUGAUGAAUACAUUAUAUUAGCUAAAGAAAAGUAUGGUUAUAACGGAGAACAGGCAUUGGGAAUGCUAUUUUGGCAUAAGCAUAAUUUGGAACGUGCAGUCCUGGAUCUAGCAAAUUUUACACCAUUUCCCGAUGAAUGGACAGUUGAAGAUAAAGUACUAUUUGAACAAGCGUUCCAAUUUCAUGGCAAGAGUUUUCAUCGCAUUCGCCAAAUGCUACCUGACAAAUCUAUCGCAAGCCUCGUUAAAUACUACUAUGGCUGGAAAAAAACACGAAGCAGGACAUCAUUAAUGGACAGGCAAGCACGUAAAUUGACGAGCGGCUUCAAGGAAGGCGAAAAUGGCAGCGAAAAUGGAAGUGAGCUCGGUUCCAAUACAGAUAGCGAGUCUGAAGAAAAAAAAUGGACGAUCCACCGCGGAAUACGUCGUGGAAAGAACCAAGCUGUGCCAGGAAGCCAAGGCACUGACGCUAAGGCCCCAUCCGACUCGGAAAACGCCCCUCAGGUUCAGGGCUCGUGUAGCAACUGUGGCGUUGCAUGCCAUAAUAUUCGUACGACGCCCAAAGGACACGCGUGUCAUAGCUGCUAUCUACAUUGGAGGCGCACCGGUGUAGCGAGACCAUUAACUUCCAUGCCGGGUCGUACGAAUAAAAGAAAACCACCGCGAGGUUUGGUUGUGAAUCACGAUGAUUUGGCGGCUUUGGCUGGUCAACCAAACCAGGCCAACAACAGUUUGCAAGCGAUCGACACUGAAAUCGUUAGCCUAAAGCGUCAAAUACAAGCCAAUAAACAACAAGUGAGUGCACUAAAGCGAAAAACUGCCGAUGGUAUCGAUCAUCUACGGCCGCCGGAGGUAUCGAGCCGUAUAAAUGCUCGUUGGACAAAUGAUGAAUUGUUAUUGGCCGUUCAAGGUAUCAGAAAAUACGGAAAGGAUUUCGCUGCUAUUGCUGAAGUUAUUGGAACCAAAACCGAAGCACAUUUACGAUCAUUUUUUGUUAAUUAUCGACGGAGAUAUAAUUUGGAUGCUGUUCUAAAAGAAUUCGAGGCUGAAAACGGUCCUAUAGUGAUUGAAGAUGAAAAAGAGGAAAAGAUGGAUGUUGAUCAAUCAAACGAUACCGCAGAGUCAUCUCAGAAGGGAAAAACUUCCACCGGGCCUGGACAAGUUACUAAAUAACAAAUGAACACAAUCCCAAAACGAGAAAAAAAUUGCAGACUCAGCGAUAACAAUCGAUAAUCGAAAGGGACAUAUAACGGCAUGAUCGUGAACGAUACACAUACAUGAAAGAAAAUAGAAUAUAAGACUAGUGAUUUAUAUACAAUGCGAUGCAGAUGCUAAAUUGGUUGAUAAUUUUUGUUUUUUUAAUUUUUGACACUGAGGUGCCUUGUGUGACAUGGGAUACGCGAAAUUAUCGCAUAUACCACUUGAAAAUCUCUCAUUGAGUUUAAACAAGCGAUAUCUAUGUAUUGACAUGUUAUUACACGUUCAGAAAAUAUCAAGAAAUCCAAUGC